This 460-nucleotide ribosomal RNA is filed under the name uncultured bacterium. RNAcentral's name for it is "partial 16S ribosomal RNA". It matches the Rfam family "Bacterial small subunit ribosomal RNA", at positions 338 to 795 of the family's 1533-position model. The record is from RNAcentral.
CCUACGGUAGGCAGCAGUGAGGAAUAUUGGUCAAUGGACGCAAGUCUGAACCAGCCAUGCCGCGUGCAGGAAGACGGCUCUAUGAGUUGUAAACUGCUUUUGUACGAGGGUAAACGCAGAUACGCGUAUCUGUCUGAAAGUAUCUUACGAAUAAGGAUCGGCUAACUCCGUGCCAGCAGCCGCGGUAAUACGGAGGAUUCAAGCGUUAUCCGGAUUUAUUGGGUUUAAAGGGUGCGCAGGCGGUCGGAUAAGUUAGAGGUGAAAUCCCGAGGCUCAACUUCGGAAUUGCAUCUGAUACUGUUCGGCUAGAGAGUAGUAGCGGUAGGCGGAAUGUGUGGUGUAGCGGUGAAAUGCUUAGAGAUCAUACAGAACACCGAUUGCGAAGGCAGCAUACCAAGCUACUUCUGACGUUGAGGCACGAAAGCGUGGGGAGCAAACAGGAUUAGAUACCCUAGUAGUC